Molecule: ribosomal RNA, 1293 nt
Filed under: Heronimus mollis
Lineage: Eukaryota; Metazoa; Platyhelminthes; Trematoda; Plagiorchiida; Heronimidae
Description: eukaryotic LSU rRNA
Rfam family: Eukaryotic large subunit ribosomal RNA
Source: RNAcentral
AUUCCCUCAUAACUGCGAGUGAACAGGGAUAAGCCCAUCACCGAAGCCUGUGGUCAUUUGAUCCCUAGGCAAUGUGGUGUUGAAGUCUAUUCGCAAAGGCAUUGCUCCACUCCAAGUCCAGCAAUGAGUACGGUAGUACGGACGUGGCCCAUAGAGGGUGAAAGGCCCGUGGGGGUGGAGAUCAGGUCGGUCAAUGCUUUUCUGAAUUGACUUUGGAGUCGGGUUGUUUGUGAAUGCAGCCCAAAGUGGGUGGUAAACUCCAUCCAAGGCUAAAUACUGACACGAGUCCGAUAGCGAACAAGUACCGUGAGGGAAAGUUGAAAAGUACUUUGAAGAGAGAGUAAACAGUGCGUGAAACCGCUCAGAGGUAAGCGGAUGGAGUUGAACUGCAAGCCCAGAGAAUUCAGCUAGUGAGUAUGGUCAUGAGCUUGGUCAUAUUGGUCGGACCUCAGAGUUUGCUUAGUUGCAGGCCCUCAUCGUGGUGAGGGUGCAUGAUAGACUUAUCAAGUUUUGUGCGUUCUGAGUGUCUGCGGGCUAGCUUGCUAGUGCACUUUCUCUGGGUGAUCACCACGACCGGCGCUGCUGUCUGUACAUUAUAGUCGAACCGGUUAGAUUUGAUCCCUGUGAUUUUAUCUAAUCGGGAUGGCAGGUAAUUCGUUAGCUUGUGUUGAUUUCGAUCAUCACAUUAUGGGCUUUCGAGUGUAAUCAGCUGUCUAUAGUGGAUCUGUGCAGUGCGUCGGGGAUGGCGGCUACUAGUGUGUGCAUUCGUGCCUGAUCUGCUGUCGGUUCUGAGUCUGGUUGUCAUGUUGCUUGUUUGAACAGGCCUGAUGAUGUCUCGGUUCUGUGCAGUGGAUGGUAGCGUAUGUGGCACUAUCGGUAGGGCCGAUAGUCUGUGGUGUAGUGGUAAACUUUCCAUCCGACCCGUCUUGAAACACGGACCAAGGAGAUUAACAUGUGCGCGAGUCAUUGGGCUUUACGAAACCCACAGGCGUAGUGAAAGUGAAGGUUCGACUUUGUUCGAACUGAGGUGAGAUCCUGUCGUUUCUCGCACAUGGUAUCACCAAGUAUCGAGCGACAGGCGCAUCACCGGCCCGUCUCAUGGCGUGGACAUUGGUUUUCGAACUGAUGCAUCGCCGGGGCGGAGCAUGAGCGCACACGUUGAGACCCGAAAGAUGGUGAACUAUGCUUGCGCAGGUUGAAGCCAGAGGAAACUCUGGUGGAGGACCGCAGCGAUUCUGACGUGCAAAUCGAUCGUCAAACGUGAGUAUAGGGGCGAAAGACUAAUCGAACCAU